The sequence is a transfer RNA, 66 nucleotides long. It matches the Rfam family "tRNA". From Rfam's summary of the family: Transfer RNA (tRNA) molecules are approximately 80 nucleotides in length. Their secondary structure includes four short double-helical elements and three loops (D, anti-codon, and T loops).
AAGGUUUUAAGUUAAAUAAACUAAUAGCCUUCAAAGCUAUAAAUAUAAUUGAAGUUUUAAGCCUUA